CCUACGGGUGGCAGCAGUCGAGAAUCAUUCACAAUGGGCGAAACCCUGAUGCUGCGACGCCGCGUGGGGGAAUGAAGGUCUUCGGUUUGAAACCUCCUGUCAUAGGGGAGCAAAUAAAACAGUUCCUACCACAUGAGCCACAGCCGACUACCUCUGUGCAAGCAGCCGCGUUAAUACAGAGGUCGCAAGCGUUGUACGGAAUGACUGGGAGUAACGGGUGCGUGGGCUGAUUGGUAAGUUGUGUGUGACGGGCGCGGGCUCAACCCACGGACGGCAUAUGAAACUGCGAGACUUGAGUAAUGGAGAGGGAGGCGGAAUUCUCGGUGUAGCAGUGAAAUGCGUAGAUAUCAGGAAGAACUCCGAUGGCGAAGGCAGCCUGCUAAACGGCCACUGACGGUGAGGCGCGAAAGUGUGGGUAGCAAACAGGAUUAGAUACCCGUGUAGUC
RNAcentral lists this ribosomal RNA (446 nucleotides) under uncultured bacterium. RNAcentral's name for it is "partial 16S ribosomal RNA". It matches the Rfam family "Bacterial small subunit ribosomal RNA", at positions 338 to 795 of the family's 1533-position model. The record is from RNAcentral.